UACCUCUCCAAAGGUAACCACUUUCAACUCUUUUAGCAGUUGCUUCUAGUAUUUCUAAAUAAUAUGUUUAUAUUGAUUUCUUGAUUUUUCUAAUUUAGAAAUCAUCCAUGACUUCCUGCAAUGGAAGAUGAGGACACAGCUAAGUAUGAACAUUCAUCUUUUGAGGGCCACACAGGCACAAAUGUUACAGCUACAAGAGGAAAGAAGGUCACAACUGAGGAAAAGGGGCUGAGGGAACUCAAAAAAUACUGCAACUGGCAACAGAGACCACCAUCAAGGGAUAAAAUUACUUCAGCACCUACACACAAAACGCAGAGCAGCUGGAGAAAGGGGCAUGGGAAAAAAAGGCUGCUCAAGAGCAAACCUGAAGACCCUGUUUAUUAGCCAUUUCUCUCCCUGCAAGUGACUGGCAAUCCAUUUUGACUGAACUUGGGAUUCUGAGAUGCUCCGAAUGCCCUCUCUGGUGUUUUUACAGUUGAGGGGAGAAGAGGGUCUGUUCUCCAGGUAAUCUAACACCUCAAGGCUCUGGAUGAUGCAUUAUGCAUGGUUCAUGCAAGACACUGCAGAAAUCCAAUCAGGAGAUGCACACAAGAAAAAACCUUGGCCCUACAUCAAAACAGUAGCAACAAAUGUGGAGUCCUGAGAACUAGUUGCCCCUGGGCUAUGGAGAAAGGGAGCUAAUAAAAUGACCAUGGUGGCAUCAUCAUCAAUAUAGGAACCCGGUGAAUGACUACAUUCGGAUCGCCUUCCUA
Long non-coding RNA from Homo sapiens (human), 752 nucleotides. RefSeq lists it as uncharacterized. The transcript has 5 exons. The record is from RefSeq and is a predicted model, not a curated record. NCBI's taxonomy places the organism in Eukaryota, Metazoa, Chordata, Mammalia, Primates, Hominidae.